GUUUCCUUGUACGAAUUGCUGCACCUCUCAUCACCUUAAGUGAUCUGCUAACUUUCAUUUUCACCUCUCUCUGACACAUUUCUGCAAUCCGCUUGGCAUCAGUCAAUUGCCUCCUGUGGAAAUUGAUAAAUAUCUUAUGAUGUUUUGGGAUUUCUUUCCUUGCAAGGUUUAUCCAACAUUUUCCAAUCCUUUCCAUUUCUUCCUUCUCAAUCGCAAAAGGAUCUUUCUCCAACUUUGGCUUUUUGGGUAGACUACGU
This 257-nucleotide unclassified non-coding RNA is filed under the name Hevea brasiliensis (rubber tree). The record is from RNAcentral. Lineage: Eukaryota; Viridiplantae; Streptophyta; Magnoliopsida; Malpighiales; Euphorbiaceae.